CAAACAAUUACAACCAUCCAUCAGGUCAAGGAAUCAAACAUUUGUUGUAUUUGUUUUCACAGUUGCUGGCCAUUUCUGUCAACUGAUAAUAGUUUUGCAUUUACUGUAGUCAUAUACAAUUUUCUUUCAAAUGAAUCUUAUUUGGUAAAACCAUGGAGCAAUCUGAAGAAAAAUAUUAUAAUAGAAUGCAGAUAUGUGAAGUUUGAGAAAUCUAGAGCAUGCAGGAUGUAUUAUUGGGGAAGCGAAGUGACUGCAAGGUCAGUAGAUGACAGCCGCACAUGUCUGAUGAUAAAGCUGUGUCAUGGGCUCCAGAUGAACAGAGGAGAGAAGAAGGGCACACAAUGUCCUGGCAGUGGUAGGUAGGAGCGAAAAAUCUUAACUCAGAGGUUCAGGAAUUACAAGAAAAGAUCACUUGAGAAGACUUCAGGAAAGUAGGGUACUUGAGAUGUAGCCAAGUUGCAGUUGGAGCAAGAAGACACUGAGGAUGAAGAGGAAUUUGCUGAUAAUUGGCCAUGCAUUUCACAGGGAACAGUUGAAGGGCUUAGGGGUUUGGGAAAAUAUAUAAAUGAGUACACAUUAGAGAACACACACAUAGAGUGUGAGGAUGAAAAGUGGGGUCAGAUGGGUAACCUAGAAGUUGAUUAUAUUAGAAAGUAUUGGAACACUGGACAAUGAUUAGCUUGUAGCUCAGGUGAUGUGGCGGUUUUGGGGUGGGUGAGAGCCUUCCCCAUGAAGCAGGUUUCCUAGGCAGACCAUCUGGCUUGCUGACCCUGAGAGGAUUUAAUUAAAAAUGAUGUGAGGGCCUCUGUGUGGUCUAUUCUGUGUUUCAAAACCAUUCUGCCUAGGGCAGUUUACAUAGGUCCUUGUUAGAAAAUGAGGGGAGAAAAACACUGGAUUCUUUUUGCUCUUAUGCAUAUUAGAUUUAUACACAUUAAUGCUUCUUAGGCUCCUUGGCUUCACCUCUUGAUCAAAAGAAUGGCAUCUAUAUAAAGCAAAACUAGAGGCUGGGUGUGGUGGCUCACAGCUGUAAUCACAGCACUUUGGGAGGCUGAGGCAGGUGGAUCACCUGGGGUCAGGAAUUCGAGACCAGCCUGGCCAAUAUGGUGAAACCCCAUCUCUACUAAAAAUACAAAACAUUAGCAGGACGUGGUGGUGUGUACCUGUAAUCACAGCUACUCUGGAGGCUGAAGUAGGAGAGUCCCUUGAACCUGGGAGGCCAAGGUUGCAGUGAGCCAAGAUUGCACCAUUGCACUGCAGCCUGGGAGACAGAAUGAGACUCAUUCUCAACACACAGACACACAGACGCACGUGCGCGCGCGCAUACACACACACACAAAUAAAUAAAUAAAUCAACUGUACUGAACUCCCUAUGACUUGGCUUAUAAGAAGUUGUUUUCCCCAUCCUGUUCCCCAGAUGCUCCUUUUAUAGGCUUGGAGUGUAGAGCUUUUCCCAUGUGAACAAUCUCUCUGUUUGUGGUCUGCUGUCAGGCACUCUGCAGCUCAUGGUGGCUGACCUUGCUGCUCCUUGUGCCACUACUGACCUCUUCCAGACCCACUGACCCCUGGUGUUCUCUUUCUGACCAACCACACAGCCCCUUCUGCUUCUGUCUACAUAGAACCACAGGGUCCUAAGAGACGUUAUAGAUGUAUAGACUGCAGUACGAGCUAUGAAUUCCACUAUAUUCAGGCCGGCUGCUUAUUUCAAUCCACACUACUCGCCUUCUUGUUGGUGAUAUUCUUCGAAGAGCCUAUGAUCACAUUUUUAUCUUGCCUGAUACCCAAUUGGGAACUGUGUUCUCAUUCUCUUCCAUGAGCUUCUAGGCCUUGUGCUAAUAAAUGCAUGUGGCUAGCUAUCUGUUUUAGAGUUCCUUAAUAAUCAAUCAACCAACUACUGAAUAGUCCAUGACAGUUGACAGACUGUUUAGUUUAAAUAGUGGUUCUCAAAUCUUGACCUGUAUCAGAAUCAUCUGGAGAACCAUUAAGUCACAAGUUGCUGAGUCCUAUCCCUAGUAUUUCUUAUUCUGGGAUGGAGACAGCCUGCCUGACAAGGUUUUAGGUGAUACUAAUGCUGCUGGCCUUGGAAUCACACUUUGAGAACUUUUGGACUGGAACAUUCUGAAAGUUUCUACAAAAUUAUAUUGCUUAAUGCCAAAUGUCAGCCCAGUAGAUUUCUAUCUAUGAUUCAGCCAAAAUAUUCAUACAUAAUUUAAAUAAAAAUUGAAUCUAUUUUCUUAACUGUAAUGUUCUUGAGAGUAGUCACAAUUUCUUUUGUCAUCUAUGUAUACUCUAGAGUAGAAGUCAGAAUGAAAAGAGCACAGAUGCCAAGAUGAGGG
This 2333-nucleotide long non-coding RNA is filed under the name Callithrix jacchus (white-tufted-ear marmoset). RNAcentral describes it as "lncRNA (ENSCJAG00000081031.1)". The record is from RNAcentral. Lineage: Eukaryota; Metazoa; Chordata; Mammalia; Primates; Cebidae.